Molecule: ribosomal RNA, 2775 nt
Filed under: Salmonella enterica subsp. enterica serovar Montevideo
Lineage: Bacteria; Pseudomonadati; Pseudomonadota; Gammaproteobacteria; Enterobacterales; Enterobacteriaceae
Description: bacterial LSU rRNA
Rfam family: Bacterial large subunit ribosomal RNA
Source: RNAcentral
AGCGUACACGGUGGAUGCCCUGGCAGUCAGAGGCGAUGAAGGGCGUGCUAAUCUGCGAUAAGCGCCGGUAAGGUGAUAUGAACCGUUAUAACCGGCGAUACCCGAAUGGGGAAACCCAGUGUGACUCGUCACACUAUCAUUAACUGAAUCCAUAGGUUAAUGAGGCGAACCGGGGGAACUGAAACAUCUAAGUACCCCGAGGAAAAGAAAUCAACCGAGAUUCCCCCAGUAGCGGCGAGCGAACGGGGAGGAGCCCAGAGCCUGAAUCAGCAUGUGUGUUAGUGGAAGCGUCUGGAAAGGCGCGCGAUACAGGGUGACAGCCCCGUACACAAAAGCGCAUGUGCUGUGAGCUCGAUGAGUAGGGCGGGACACGUGGUAUCCUGUCUGAAUAUGGGGGGACCAUCCUCCAAGGCUAAAUACUCCUGACUGACCGAUAGUGAACCAGUACCGUGAGGGAAAGGCGAAAAGAACCCCGGCGAGGGGAGUGAAAAAGAACCUGAAACCGUGUACGUACAAGCAGUGGGAGCACCCUUUGGGGUGUGACUGCGUACCUUUUGUAUAAUGGGUCAGCGACUUAUAUUCUGUAGCAAGGUUAACCGUAUAGGGGAGCCGGAGGGAAACCGAGUCUUAACCGGGCGUUAAGUUGCAGGGUAUAGACCCGAAACCCGGUGAUCUAGCCAUGGGCAGGUUGAAGGUUGGGUAACACUAACUGGAGGACCGAACCGACUAAUGUUGAAAAAUUAGCGGAUGACCUGUGGCUGGGGGUGAAAGGCCAAUCAAACCGGGAGAUAGCUGGUUCUCCCCGAAAGCUAUUUAGGUAGCGCCUCGUGAAUUCAUCUCCGGGGGUAGAGCACUGUUUCGGCUAGGGGGCCAUCCCGGCUUACCAACCCGAUGCAAACUGCGAAUACCGGAGAAUGUUAUCACGGGAGACACACGGCGGGUGCUAACGUCCGUCGUGAAGAGGGAAACAACCCAGACCGCCAGCUAAGGUCCCAAAGUCAUGGUUAAGUGGGAAACGAUGUGGGAAGGCCCAGACAGCCAGGAUGUUGGCUUAGAAGCAGCCAUCAUUUAAAGAAAGCGUAAUAGCUCACUGGUCGAGUCGGCCUGCGCGGAAGAUGUAACGGGGCUAAACCAUGCACCGAAGCUGCGGCAGCGACGCUGAUGCGUUGUUGGGUAGGGGAGCGUUCUGUAAGCCUGCGAAGGUGGCCUGUGAGGGUUGCUGGAGGUAUCAGAAGUGCGAAUGCUGACAUAAGUAACGAUAAAGCGGGUGAAAAGCCCGCUCGCCGGAAGACCAAGGGUUCCUGUCCAACGUUAAUCGGGGCAGGGUGAGUCGACCCCUAAGGCGAGGCCGAAAGGCGUAGUCGAUGGGAAACGGGUUAAUAUUCCCGUACUUGGUGUUACUGCGAAGGGGGGACGGAGAAGGCUAUGUUGGCCGGGCGACGGUUGUCCCGGUUUAAGCGUGUAGGUGUGUGUUCCAGGUAAAUCCGGUUCACUUUAACACUGAGGCGUGAUGACGAGGCACUACGGUGCUGAAGCAACAAAUGCCCUGCUUCCAGGAAAAGCCUCUAAGCAUCAGGUAACAUCAAAUCGUACCCCAAACCGACACAGGUGGUCAGGUAGAGAAUACCAAGGCGCUUGAGAGAACUCGGGUGAAGGAACUAGGCAAAAUGGUGCCGUAACUUCGGGAGAAGGCACGCUGACACGUAGGUGAAGUGAUUUACUCAUGGAGCUGAAGUCAGUCGAAGAUACCAGCUGGCUGCAACUGUUUAUUAAAAACACAGCACUGUGCAAACACGAAAGUGGACGUAUACGGUGUGACGCCUGCCCGGUGCCGGAAGGUUAAUUGAUGGGGUCAGCGCAAGCGAAGCUCCUGAUCGAAGCCCCGGUAAACGGCGGCCGUAACUAUAACGGUCCUAAGGUAGCGAAAUUCCUUGUCGGGUAAGUUCCGACCUGCACGAAUGGCGUAAUGAUGGCCAGGCUGUCUCCACCCGAGACUCAGUGAAAUUGAACUCGCUGUGAAGAUGCAGUGUACCCGCGGCAAGACGGAAAGACCCCGUGAACCUUUACUAUAGCUUGACACUGAACAUUGAGCCUUGAUGUGUAGGAUAGGUGGGAGGCUUUGAAGUGUGGACGCCAGUCUGCAUGGAGCCGACCUUGAAAUACCACCCUUUAAUGUUUGAUGUUCUAACGUGGACCCGUGAUCCGGGUUGCGGACAGUGUCUGGUGGGUAGUUUGACUGGGGCGGUCUCCUCCUAAAGAGUAACGGAGGAGCACGAAGGUUGGCUAAUCCUGGUCGGACAUCAGGAGGUUAGUGCAAUGGCAUAAGCCAGCUUGACUGCGAGCGUGACGGCGCGAGCAGGUGCGAAAGCAGGUCAUAGUGAUCCGGUGGUUCUGAAUGGAAGGGCCAUCGCUCAACGGAUAAAAGGUACUCCGGGGAUAACAGGCUGAUACCGCCCAAGAGUUCAUAUCGACGGCGGUGUUUGGCACCUCGAUGUCGGCUCAUCACAUCCUGGGGCUGAAGUAGGUCCCAAGGGUAUGGCUGUUCGCCAUUUAAAGUGGUACGCGAGCUGGGUUUAGAACGUCGUGAGACAGUUCGGUCCCUAUCUGCCGUGGGCGCUGGAGAACUGAGGGGGGCUGCUCCUAGUACGAGAGGACCGGAGUGGACGCAUCACUGGUGUUCGGGUUGUCAUGCCAAUGGCACUGCCCGGUAGCUAAAUGCGGAAGAGAUAAGUGCUGAAAGCAUCUAAGCACGAAACUUGCCCCGAGAUGAGUUCU